CAUGUCUUUUUGAUUUUAAUUUAAGGUUUAAUCUGCUCAAUGAUUAUUUAAAUUGCCGCAGUAUCUUAACUGUGCAAAGGUAGCAUAAUAAUUAGUUUCUUGAUUAGAAGCUGGAAUGAAUGAUUUGACGAGAAAAUUACUGUCUCUUGUUAAUUGAUAAUUGAAUUUUAUUUUUAAGUUAAAAAGCUUAAAUAAUAAUAAAAGACGAGAAGACCCUAUAGAGUUUAAUAUUGAUUUAUAUUAAUUUUUAGUAAUUUAAUAAUAAUAAGAUAUUUAGUUGGGGUGACUUAAAGAUUUAAUUAAUUCUUUAAUUUAUUUAUUGUUGAUAAAUAAAUUUUUGAUCUAUAUUUUUAAAUAUAAUAUAAAUUACCUUAGGGAUAACAGCGUUAUUUUUCUUUAGAGUUCUUAUUAAAAGAAAAGAUUGCGACCUCGAUGUUGGAUUAAAAUUUAUUUUUGGAGUAGUUGCUUUAAAAUUAGGUCUGUUCGACCUUUAAAAUUUUACAUGAUCUGAGU
This 513-nucleotide ribosomal RNA is filed under the name Platycis sp. UPOL 001365. RNAcentral's name for it is "partial 16S ribosomal RNA". The stretch from base 377 to 513 matches the Rfam family "Bacterial large subunit ribosomal RNA", at positions 2473 to 2610 of the family's 2925-position model. Lineage: Eukaryota; Metazoa; Arthropoda; Insecta; Coleoptera; Lycidae. The record is from RNAcentral.